This 87-nucleotide microRNA precursor is filed under the name Medicago truncatula (barrel medic). RNAcentral describes it as "MIR2617 microRNA precursor family". It matches the Rfam family "MIR2617 microRNA precursor family". Lineage: Eukaryota; Viridiplantae; Streptophyta; Magnoliopsida; Fabales; Fabaceae. The record is from Rfam by way of RNAcentral.
ACGUAGUAUGACAUGCCCAUUUGGUAUUAAACUCUGAUUUAUUAUUUAUUAUUUAAUUGCUUUGGGAUAAUGGGGUGUUACAGAAAG